Molecule: transfer RNA, 72 nt
Filed under: bacterium
Lineage: Bacteria
Description: tRNA-Val
Rfam family: tRNA
About the family: Transfer RNA (tRNA) molecules are approximately 80 nucleotides in length. Their secondary structure includes four short double-helical elements and three loops (D, anti-codon, and T loops).
Source: RNAcentral
GCGCGUUUAGCUCAGUGGUAGAGCGUCGCAUUCACAUUGCGAAGGCCGUUGGUUCAAUCCCAACAACGCGCA